CAUUAGUUUGUAGGUAGUUAUUUUGUUCUUAUAUAUCCUUGUGCAGGCUGUAUUGUCUCUAGUGCUCUCACUCACUUCCUUCUCUGGCUGUGUUCCUCUUCUUGCUUGUUGUCCGUGUGUGUUUGUUGUCUUCAGGACAGUUUGGCCAACUGUCAGUUGGUCAGUUGGCUGGACUUUUCUGAUGGAUUCCUCUGUUCAGGUGGAUUUCUUCAAGUUUUCUUUGGUGUUUCCUUUUCAGUUUUUCUUCUUUCUGGGAGGUAAUUCCUCUAAAAGUGUUUCCUCUUCAAAAUUUGAUGCAAAAUUAAAGGUUUGUCUCAUUUCAAGACAAAAUUAAGAGAUAAUCUUCAGGAGCUCAAUCUCUCUCUCUCUCUCUCUCUCUCUCUCUCUCUCUCUCUCUAUAUAUAUAUAUAUAUAUAUAUAUAUAUAUAUAUAUAUAUAUGUAUAUGUAUAUAUAUAUAUCUAUCUUUCUCUCUCUCUCUCUCUCUCUCUAUAUAUAUAUAUAUAUAUAUAUAUAUAUAUAUAUAUAUAUAUAUAUAUAUAUAUAUAUAUAUAUAUAUAUAUAUAUAUAUAUAUAUAUAUAUUAUAUAUAUAUAUAUAUAUAUAUAUAUAUAUAUAUAUAGAGAGAGAGAGAGAGAGAGAGAGAGAGAGAAAAAUAUCUCUCCCUCUCUCUCUCUGAGUAGAUGCAGUGAGCGUGUUGAGCGGUGUGUCGCGGUGCCACUGGGACAGGGUUGUGUUGUUGCUGUGUUAUGUUUUCUCCUCUCCGUUUUCGUCUUCUCCCUCACCUGCCCUCUCCUUGUGGGUGUGGCCAAGGGCGUGGAGACUAUAGCGGAGUAGCGCACCGGCCUCUCAUCAUCUCAUCACCUGCGGUCUACAUACCCCGGUCUCUCCGCUACUCGGUGCCAGAUUAUUCCGGAACCAACGAGGAUUUCUGCACCGCUCCGCCCUGUCGCCUGCCCACCUGCUCGCCUGCCUGCUCUCCGGAUCCGUCUACCCGCCUGCCGGACCAGCCGAGCCCUGGACAGUCCGCCUGCUGGAUCCGGGCGACCCAGAUCAUACACCUGCCUUCCCCCCCACUGAGAUAAUAGACAAUAAACUCUGUUUCACCUCGCAGCUCUGCCUCCAGUCUCUGCUUCUGGGUUCCCACAAUCUGCCACCGUAACACGGUGGAUGUGGGCGAUUUUCGCGAACUAAGUACCUAUAUAUAUUUUUUUUCUGUUUGAUGUUUGUAAACCAGGUUGUUUGUAGGUUUACAGUGUAGAGUUUUUUUUUUUCGUUUGUGUGUGGUUUUGCGUUUGUGCAAUUGACCAGCGCUUUGCUGGUCGACAUGCAAAACGCCCCUGCGGUCACGCCAGCCGUCUCUUGUUUUCACGUAGUCAAGCCAGCCGCUCCAACAUUUUAAGUGCGCCCUUAUUACGAACUUUAUGGCAAACGGGAAACAGAAGCAAGUGGGAAAGUAAGCGCUAACUUACGAGACCGUGUGGGAACUUCCGGUUCACAAAAUAAAACCUUUGUGUUGAAUGUAUUGAGAUUUUGUUGUGUAAAAUAUGAGAACUACAAUAAAAAUUAAUGAGAAUUAUGGUGGCAAGUUAAAUGCAAUAAAGCAGGUGCGCAUCAUCCAGAAAGCCCAAAUCACCUGUCCUACACUGAUUCUGAGCCACUAGGUCACAUGACCGGGGAGUUAUUGAGCUCUGAAGCUCAUAUUUACAUUCUCACAGGGAUUACAAAUUCAUAAAAAAUAUUAAGUGUGUUCAAAUGAAAUAAAAAAAGUUGUGCCUCAUAGAGCAGGCUUAGAUCUACUGUCCUACAUUGAUUCUGAGCCACUAGGUCACAUGACCGGGGAGUUAUUGAGCUCUGAUGCUCAUAUUUACAUUCUCA
This is a long non-coding RNA of Sparus aurata (gilthead seabream), 1875 nucleotides long. The record is from Ensembl. NCBI's taxonomy places the organism in Eukaryota, Metazoa, Chordata, Actinopteri, Spariformes, Sparidae.